Molecule: long non-coding RNA, 214 nt
Filed under: Dunaliella salina
Lineage: Eukaryota; Viridiplantae; Chlorophyta; Chlorophyceae; Chlamydomonadales; Dunaliellaceae
Description: long non-coding RNA (DSAL_LNC000259)
Rfam family: Metazoan signal recognition particle RNA
About the family: The signal recognition particle (SRP) is a universally conserved ribonucleoprotein. It is involved in the co-translational targeting of proteins to membranes. The eukaryotic SRP consists of a 300-nucleotide 7S RNA and six proteins: SRPs 72, 68, 54, 19, 14, and 9.
Source: RNAcentral
AAUCGUCUUCUGGCUGUGUCUGCAUAGAGCUGACUGUGCUGGACGUUGCUUGCCGGAGGGCGGGCACCGUCCAGCCUAACGUGGGGUGAUCCGCUUCAGGCUGGAAACAGAGCAGAGCAAAAUCCCCGCAGCUAGCGGCUAUGAGACCGCACGGCCUUGCGAUGGUUGCGCUUCAAACCGGCAGGAGGUGCGGCUCGACCGGAUUGCGUUUUGU